RNAcentral lists this ribosomal RNA (606 nucleotides) under Hepatozoon canis. RNAcentral's name for it is "SSU rRNA". It matches the Rfam family "Eukaryotic small subunit ribosomal RNA", at positions 225 to 820 of the family's 1831-position model. The record is from RNAcentral. Lineage: Eukaryota; Apicomplexa; Hepatozoidae.
UGCAUGCUUUUACAGUAUGAAAAUUGGUGAUUUAUAAUAACUUAGCAAAUCGCAAAGUGAAAACAGGCGAUAAAUCAUUCAAGUUUCUGACCUAUCAGCUUUCGACGGUAUGGUAUUGGCUUACCGUGGCAGUGACGGUUAACGGGGGAUUAGGGUUCGAUUCCGGAGAGGGAGCCUGAGAAACGGCUACCACAUCUAAGGAAGGCAGCAGGCGCGCAAAUUACCCAAUUCUAACAGUUUGAGAGAGGUAGUAACAAGAAAUAACAAUACAAGGCAGUUAAAAUGCUUUGUAAUUGGAAUGAUAGAAAUUUAAACCCUUUUUAAAGUAUCAAUUGGAGGGCAAGUCUGGUGCCAGCAGCCGCGGUAAUUCCAGCUCCAAUAGCGUAUAUUAAAAUUGUUGCAGUUAAAAAGCUCGUAGUUGAAGUUCUGCUGAAAGUAACCGGUCUGCUUUUAAUAAAAGUGGUAUCUUGGUAUGUAUUUAGCAAUGAUGUCCUUUGAAGUGUUUUUUACUUUAUUGUAAUAAAGCAUAUUCAGGACUUUUACUUUGAGAAAAUUAGAGUGUUUCUAGCAGGCCGACGCUUUGAAUACUGCAGCAUGGAAUAAUAA